This 514-nucleotide ribosomal RNA is filed under the name uncultured bacterium. RNAcentral's name for it is "bacterial SSU rRNA". It matches the Rfam family "Bacterial small subunit ribosomal RNA", at positions 791 to 1310 of the family's 1533-position model. The record is from RNAcentral.
UAGUCCACGCCCUAAACGAUGCUUACUCGAUGUUUGGAUUUAAUCUGAGCGUCCAAGGGAAACCGUUAAGUAAGCCACCUGGGGAGUACGCUCGCAAGAGUGAAACUCAAAGGAAUAGACGGGGACCCGCACAAGUGGUGGAGCAUGUGGUUUAAUUCGAAGAUACGCGAAGAACCUUACCUAGCCUUGACAUAUUUAAGAACACUUUAGAGAUAGAGUGGUGCCUUCGGGAGCUUUUAUACAGGUGCUGCACGGCUGUCGUCAGCUCGUGUCGUGAGAUGUUGGGUUAAGUCCCGCAACGAGCGCAACCCUCGUCACUAGUUACUAACGGUUCGGCCGAGGACUCUAGUGAGACUGCCUUCGCAAGGAGGAGGAAGGUGAGGACGACGUCAAGUCAUCAUGGCCCUUACGGCUAGGGCAACACACGUGCUACAAUGGCCAGGACAAUGAGAAGCGAUACCGCGAGGUGGAGCAAAUCUAUAAACCUGGUCUCAGUUCGGAUUGUAGUCUGCAA